This 394-nucleotide ribosomal RNA is filed under the name uncultured bacterium. Its description in RNAcentral is "bacterial SSU rRNA". It matches the Rfam family "Bacterial small subunit ribosomal RNA", at positions 363 to 771 of the family's 1533-position model. The record is from RNAcentral.
AUUGCACAAUGGGGGAAACCCUGAUGCAGCAACGCCGCGUGAAGGAAGACGGUUUUCGGAUUGUAAACUUCUAUCAAUAGGGAAGAAAGAAAUGACGGUACCUAAAUAAGAAGCCCCGGCUAACUACGUGCCAGCAGCCGCGGUAAUACGUAGGGGGCAAGCGUUAUCCGGAUUUACUGGGUGUAAAGGGAGCGUAGACGGAGCAGCAAGUCUGAUGUGAAAGACCGGGGCUUAACCCCGGGCCUGCAUUGGAAACUGUUGAUCUUGAGUGCCGGAGGGGUAAGCGGAAUUCCUGGUGUAGCGGUGAAAUGCGUAGAUAUCAGGAGGAACACCGGUGGCGAAGGCGGCUUACUGGACGGCAACUGACGUUGAGGCUCGAAAGCGUGGGGAGCAA